CCUACGGGUGGCAGCAGUGGGGAAUAUUGCACAAUGGGGGAAACCCUGAUGCAGCAACGCCGCGUGAAGGAAGACGGUUUUCGGAUUGUAAACUUCUGUUCUUAGGGAAGAAUAAUGACGGGAGCUAAGGAGCAAGCCACGGCUAACUACGUGCCAGCAGCCGCGGUAAUACGUAGGUGGCAAGCGUUGUCCGGAAUUACUGGGUGUAAAGGGAGCGCAGGCGGGAAGCCAAGUCAGCUGUGAAAACUACGGGCUUAACUUGUAGACUGCAGUUGCAACUGGUUUUCUUGAGUGAUGUCGAGGUUGGCGUACUUCCGGUUGUGGCGUUGAACUGCGUCUC
RNAcentral lists this ribosomal RNA (340 nucleotides) under uncultured bacterium. Its description in RNAcentral is "partial 16S ribosomal RNA". It matches the Rfam family "Bacterial small subunit ribosomal RNA", at positions 338 to 694 of the family's 1533-position model. The record is from RNAcentral.